CAGAAAGCUCUCGGAUUUCAUCAAAAAUAUCUUAAUUUGUGUUCCAAAGAUGAAUGAAGGACUUAAGGGUUUGAAACGACAUGAGGGUGAGACCCAGGCCAGAGUACACCAAAAAAGUACAUCAGCUAUUUCUGUCUGUGGCUUACCACACUAUUGACGCUGUACCGCUCAUACUUACUCAGUUAUCACGUAGGAGUUAAGAAAGCAGACAUAAGCACAUAAAAACACCAGCACACAUACGCAAACAAACACCCAUACAGAAAAGGUUCGAUGUUCAAAACUGAUCGGCAAGCAAAAAAACUUUGCUGAUGUGUGCUUGUAUCAUAUCUCCUCAAGACUUUUCAAGAAAACGCUACAGGUGUACAACAACUCUUAGUCAAUCGGACGUAAUGGAUCACGUGGUCAGAAGAGUCGUUGCCCAGGAAAUGAUGCUUCGUCGGAAUGGAAACUUUAGUGCGGCCCACCACAACAGAGACACCAUGUUGUAUCGGGGGGUCCUAAUUGUCUGGCCUAAAUAUAUGAUAGAGAUGGUACCCCCACCCUGAGUCUCUCUGAGCCAUCAAUUCUAGAUGCCCUGAUCAACCUGACCAUCAUCCCGUUCCCAUCAUCCCUGACCAUCAUCCUGUUCUACUCUUCCCCAACACUCUGUUCAACUAAAAGUUUCAUAGCUUGUUUGGGGGUGGUCCUAGCUAGUGAAAUACUCUUUGUUGAAAGCACGUACACACACAUGCACUCCUGCAGGAAGAGUGGGUGUCUGGGAGCAGCUGCAUGGGAGAGAUGUCGAAUGUGGUUUCCUCCCGAUGAACCUAUCCUCCCUAUGUCUUAUCAGUCAAACAGAGAGGUAAAUAUGUAGUAAAAGUAACCAGGUUGGUAACAUUCAUUAGUGAGAUCUCUGCCUGAGAAAUAAACAUUUU
Cyprinus carpio carpio is the source of this 914-nucleotide long non-coding RNA. Lineage: Eukaryota; Metazoa; Chordata; Actinopteri; Cypriniformes; Cyprinidae. The record is from Ensembl.